CUCAAAAUAUAAAUUAACACCAUGUAUUUUCACCUUAAGAAAUGCUGGUUGACUGGGUGUUGUUUUUAAUUAUAAGAAAUACUUUCUACGCCAGGCACAGUGGCUCAUGCCUGUAAUCCCAGCACUUUGGGAGGCUGAGGCGGGUGGAUCACUUGAGGUCAGGAGUUUGAGACCAGCCUGGCCAACAUGGUGAAACCCCAUCUCUACUACACAAAUAAACAAACAAACAAAAAACACACACAGAUUAGCUGGGCAUGGUGGCGCAUGCCUGUAGUCCCAGUUGCCUGGGAGGCUGAGGUUGCAGUGAGCCAAGAUUAGGCUAUUGGACUCCAGCCUAGGCAACAGAGUGAGAUCCUGUCUCAGAAACAAAAACAAAAGAACAAACAAACAUUAGCCAGGCAUGGUGGCAGGCACCUGUAAUGCCAGCUACUCAGGAGGCUGAGGCAGAAGAAUCACUUGAACCUGGGAGGUGGAGGUUGCAGUGAGCUGAGAUUGUGCCACUGCAUGCCAGCCUGGGCGACAGAGUAAUACUUUGUCUGAAAAAAUAAAAAUAAAAUAAAACAUAAAAAAGCUAUCUUUUAGAUACGUAUUAAGAUAUUAUACAUGAAGUGAUAUGAUAGCUGGAACGUGCUUUAAAAUAACUCAAGGGGUUGGGUACAAAUGAAACGAGACUGAUCAUAACUGUGAGAGCUAAGCCCAGAGUACAUGACCUAGUUGUUCUAUUUCUAUGUUUUUUGUUAGAAAACAAAUUGAAAAUACAACCCUGGGAAGAAAUUAUGUAGUCAAGUAACUAUACUAUCAAAAUGAAUUAGACAUUUGAAGCAAUUAUCUAUAAAACUGUAGUAAAAAUUGCCCUGAAUCAAGUGAUUCAGCCAAAGGAAAGUCUGUUGAUUAUAUUGCACUCCCCCCCCCGCUUCUUUUUUUUCAAACAAUCAGCUUUCUAUUGCUACUUUUACUGUAGGCCUGACUCUCAAUACAGAAACUUCAAAAUGGGCGCCUAUUCAAUCAGAAUUUGAAAUUUCUAUUUUAUCCUGCCUCGUGAAUUAAUGAGCACAAGUUCUUUAUAGGAUUCCAGCUAAUAGAUGCAGAAGGAAUGACAAGAUAUCACUGGUUGGCAACCUCUAAUGGAAUCCCAGAUGUGGGCAAAUAUCAUUAAUGAUGGCUAAAUCCAUCAGGGGAAAAGCUGAUAGAGAACUUUUGUAAUGAAUGGAGUGGGCUGGCAGCAUCCAAACCCACUAUCAAUCUUAAUGUUACAAGAUGAGAGCCAUUAUGUGCCAUGAUGUGAUACAACAUGGAGCAUAUAUCACCUAUGAAUUAUUUUUGUGAAAAAGCAAAACAGAACAACAGAAGCCCUCUAGAUCUGUCAGUUUAUAGAACAUAUAGGGGACAGAAAAGGUGUACAUGAUCCCAUUAGGAUACAUUCAGUAAAAUCCACUGAAGGACAAUUCUAUAGGACAAACAACUUAGUUUCUUCAAAAAUUAAAAACAGGAAAGUUAAAUCUAUAGAUUAUAUUAACAAAAUGCAAGAUCUAGAUCUUGCCUGGAUCUUGACUCGAAUAAACCAACUGUUAAAAAAAACUUACGAGACAAUCAGGAAGUUUGAAUAUUGACUGGUACUUGGCAUCAAAAAAUGUUUUAGCAGUCUUACACAAUGGUAUUGUGGUUAUGUUCAAAAAAGUACCCUAUCUUUGGAGUUAUAUUUGAAUGUCUCUGAUCACACAGACAUGAAAAUACUAUGCCUGUUAAUGGGACUCAAACUGAUCCCUGUGGGUUGGGGCAGGGGAUAGGUGGGGAUGCAGGUAAACAAGACUGACCACAGGACAGCUGUUGGAGGAUGGGUACACAGAGCUUCAUUCUGCUAUUCUUUUUGUGCAUUUGUGAAAAUUUCCAUAAUAAAAUGUUUUUAAAAAUGAGUUUGGAUAGCAUUAUACUAUAAAAUAUUUUAAAAUUUCCUUCUUUAAUGAAGACUUGCAAGCAGAAAAAUAUAAUUUUCUAAGGGUCAAUUAACUAGUACAUUAACUCAAGUAACAGUUACUUAGCGCAGGGCAUGGUGGCUUAUGCCUAUAAUCCCAGUACUUUGGGAGGCCAAGGUGGGAGGAUGGCUUGAGCCAGGAGUUCAAUACCAACCUGGGCAACAUAGGGAGACCUCUGUCUCUUACAUAAAUAAAAAAAAUUAGCCAGGUAUGGUGGCAUGUGCCUGUGGUCCCAGCUAUUUGCAGGGCUGAGGUAAGAGGAUUGCUUGGGCCUGAGAGGUGGAGGCUGCAGUGAGCCAGGAUCAUGCCACUGCACUUCAACCUGGGCAAAAGAGCAAGAGCCUGUCUCAAAACAAACAAAAAAGUUUCUUAGAAACUGAUAAAUAAAUAUAAUUUUUAAAAGAUUGUACAAAUUACUGUUAUUGCAUGACUAAGAGACUACUAAAAGUUGGGAUUUUUUUUUUUGAGACAGAGUCACACUCUGUCACCUAGGCUGGAGUGUAGUGGCGUGAUCUUGGCUCACUGCAACCUCUGCCUCCUGGGUUCAAGUGAUUUUUUGUGCCCCAGUGCCCCAAGUAGUUGGGACAACAUGUGUGUACCAUGCCUGGCUAAUUUCUGUAUUUUUAGUAGAGACUUUUUUUUGUUUGUUUUGAGAGGGAGUCUUGCUCAGUCGCCAAGCUGGAGUGCAGUGGCGCCAUCUUGGCUCACUGCAAGCUCCGCCUCCCGGGUUCACGUCAUUCUCAUGCCUCAGCCUCCUGAGUAGCUGGGACUACAGGCGCGUGCCACCACACCCGGCUAAUUUUUUGUAUUUUUUUAAAUAGAGACGGGGUUUCACCAUGUUAGCCAGGAUGGUCUCGAUUUCCUGACCUCGUGAUUCACCCACCUUGGCCUCCCAAAGUGCUGGGAUUACAGGCGUGAGCCACCGCGCCUGGCCGAGACGGCGUUUUACCAUGUUGGCCAGGCUGGUCUCAAACUCCUGACCUCAAGUGUUCCACCAGCCUCGGUCUCCCGAAGUGUUGGGAUUACAGGCGUAAACCACAAUGCCAGGCCAAAAAUUGGGAUUUUAAACCAAAAGGAGAAACCUUUGAUAAACUGAACAUCAAUUCCAGGUAAAACUAGGCUCUGGAGUCAGCCAGAUCUAGGUUUGAAUCCUAGCUCUGUCAUUUUCUAUCUACCAGUUCAAUGUUUUUUGGCAUAGCACACAAUUUCUGUGACCCUUAGGCUCCACAUCUAUAAUGUGGCAGCAACAACUUUCUUGGUCAGUAGAGCACUCUGCAAAGGGCCUGGCACAUGGUAAGUGCUUGGUGUAGAAUUCAAAUAAUUCCACUACCAUUUCAGUCAUAAAUGCAUACUUUUCUAUAAUCUAACAUCUCUCAAAUUGGGAUGUCUCAUAAUUGAUGGCAUAUCAUGAUUUAAUUGGCAGGUUUUUUCCUUAGUCGUUUGUAAAAAAUGGUGCUACAGAUCAAUAGCAUCUAAGAGUCAAUAUACCAUGGUAUCAAUCAUUGUAAAGAUAUAUUCCCAAUUUCUGUUCUAAGGUUACUCUGAAUAACCAAUCUGAGAUUUAAAAUAUUUAAAGUCUGAGUAAAAUAUUUCUAAUACAUCAUGAACAGAACAGUUUUGAGACAAAUUAAUUUUGUAAAAAAUGGUUUAUCAAUUCCAUUUUUGUAUAAAACACACGGGAGAAACCUAGCCAAUCAACACACAACUGUCACCACAUGAAAAGGUACUUUUAUCAAACUUCGAGUCUAAGAACAUACAAAUGUUUCUUUUAUCAUGUCUACAGUAAUUGUCUAUGCUUUUCCAUUUAACUGUUGUUAAAAAUUCCACAUAUCCCCAUUAUUUCUUCUGUCCCAGUUACAGUACAAUGACGGGGAGGAAGAGGGUUGGUUAAAGCAUCCCUCUAAGCAGUUUUCUGCUGUCCCUUCUUUCCAAUCAGAGAUUUGUGGAUGUGAGGGAUCACACCUAGAAUGAAAUUUAAAAAAGUUAUUAAAAACUUUUAAAGUUUUUGCCUCAAGUAAAAAGUUAAUUAUAGAAAAAAUGAAAUUUACUUAAGUCCCUUUUCAUAUUCUGAUACUGUUAAACUAUCUAUACCAAUGGCUACACCCCAGGGGUCUGUGAACCCUUUAAAACUGUAUGUAAAAUUGUGUGACUUUCCGUGCAUUUUUUGAGAAGAGUAACCAUAGCUUUUUUUUUUUUUUUUUUUUGAGAUGGCCUCACUUUGUCGCCAAUGCUGGGGUGCAGUGGUGUAAUCUUGGCUCACUGCGACCUCUGUCCUGGGUUCAAGUGAUUCUCCUACCUCAGCCUCCUGAGUAGC
Molecule: long non-coding RNA, 4287 nt
Filed under: Homo sapiens (human)
Lineage: Eukaryota; Metazoa; Chordata; Mammalia; Primates; Hominidae
Description: HSALNT0122043
Source: RNAcentral